GGGAAGGUGGCUCAGUGGUAGAGUACUUGCCUUGCAUGCAUGAGGACCUGGGUUCGAUUCCUCAGCCCCA
This 70-nucleotide transfer RNA is filed under the name Dipodomys ordii (Ord's kangaroo rat). It matches the Rfam family "tRNA". Rfam says of the family: Transfer RNA (tRNA) molecules are approximately 80 nucleotides in length. Their secondary structure includes four short double-helical elements and three loops (D, anti-codon, and T loops). The record is from Rfam by way of RNAcentral. Lineage: Eukaryota; Metazoa; Chordata; Mammalia; Rodentia; Heteromyidae.